GCUCCGGUAGUAUAGACAAGGUAAACCUUCUAGAUCGGUCAAGUAUGCCGGCCUUUCGAGCCGGUCACCCGGGUUCAAAUCCCGGCCGGAGCACCA
This 96-nucleotide transfer RNA is filed under the name Candidatus Bathyarchaeota archaeon. RNAcentral describes it as "tRNA-Glu". It matches the Rfam family "tRNA". From Rfam's summary of the family: Transfer RNA (tRNA) molecules are approximately 80 nucleotides in length. Their secondary structure includes four short double-helical elements and three loops (D, anti-codon, and T loops). RNAcentral also lists the same sequence under 1 other name. The record is from RNAcentral. Lineage: Archaea; Thermoproteati; Candidatus Bathyarchaeota.